RNAcentral lists this transfer RNA (71 nucleotides) under Loxodonta africana (African savanna elephant). It matches the Rfam family "tRNA". Rfam says of the family: Transfer RNA (tRNA) molecules are approximately 80 nucleotides in length. Their secondary structure includes four short double-helical elements and three loops (D, anti-codon, and T loops). The record is from Rfam by way of RNAcentral. Lineage: Eukaryota; Metazoa; Chordata; Mammalia; Proboscidea; Elephantidae.
GUAUUAGUGGUUCAGUGAUAGAAUUCUUGCUUUCCAUGCAGAAGACCUAGGUUCGACCCCUGGUCAAUGCA